Molecule: transfer RNA, 77 nt
Filed under: Paramuricea clavata
Lineage: Eukaryota; Metazoa; Cnidaria; Anthozoa; Malacalcyonacea; Plexauridae
Description: tRNA-Ser
Rfam family: tRNA (bases 10-71)
About the family: Transfer RNA (tRNA) molecules are approximately 80 nucleotides in length. Their secondary structure includes four short double-helical elements and three loops (D, anti-codon, and T loops).
Source: RNAcentral
GCCUCUGUGUGUAGCUCAGUUGGUUAGAGCGCUGCACCGGAAUCGCAGGGCCACAGGUUCGAUUCCUGCCAGAGACC